Small nuclear RNA from Ochotona princeps (American pika), 107 nucleotides. The record is from RefSeq and is a predicted model, not a curated record. NCBI's taxonomy places the organism in Eukaryota, Metazoa, Chordata, Mammalia, Lagomorpha, Ochotonidae.
GUGCUCACUUUGGCAGCACAUAUACUAAAAUUGGAAUGACACAGAGAAGAUUAGUAUGACCCCUCCACCAGGAUGACAUGCAAAUUUGUGAAGCAGUCUAUAUUUUU